AGUGAACGCUGGCGGCAGGCCUAAUACAUGCAAGUCGAACGGCAGCACAGCAGAGCUUGCUCUGUGGGUGGCGAGUGGCGGACGGGUGAGGAAUACAUGGGAAUCUGCCCAGUCGUGGGGGAUAACGUAUGGAAACGUACGCUAAUACCGCAUGCGCCCUAAGGGGGAAAGGCCGGGGACCGCAAGGCCUGGCGCGAUUGGAUGAGCCCAUGUUCGAUUAGCUAGUUGGCGGGGUAAAGGCCCACCAAGGCGACGAUCGAUAGCUGGUCUGAGAGGAUGAUCAGCCACACUGGAACUGAGACACGGUCCAGACUCCUACGGGAGGCAGCAGUAGGGAAUAUCGGACAAUGGGGGCGAACCCUCGAUCCAGCCAUGCCGCGUGAGUGAGAAGGCCUCGGGUUGCAAAGCUCUUUUGUCCGGAAGAAAAGCAAUCGGUUAAUACCCGGUUGUUCUGACGGUACCGGAAGAAUAAGCACCGG
This 479-nucleotide ribosomal RNA is filed under the name uncultured bacterium. RNAcentral's name for it is "bacterial SSU rRNA". It matches the Rfam family "Bacterial small subunit ribosomal RNA", at positions 29 to 496 of the family's 1533-position model. The record is from RNAcentral.